UCACGCACCAUCGGAGGGGCAAUGAAGUUGAUAUAGAUGCCCUGUGUGACCAAUUCCCUCUCCAGCAGAUUACCGAAAAAGUCUCCCAGAUUGGAUCUCACGGUAACUGAGGCUCUCGGCUGUGGAGAAGUAUAUUUUUGUCUCCUUUUAGCAAUGGGGGAAUAUUUGGGAAUUUAUAGGACGAAGAUUAGGGUUAGGAGACCCGCAGGGGGGCCCACAAGCUACGGGGCGCUCCCUGCAGGCUUGUCGUCUCCCGGCAGGUGUCCUGCCCCCUUCUCCACGUGUGGCAGGUUUCUUCUGGUCCAAGAAAAAUCAUUCCGGAGAUUUUAUUCUGUUUGGAAUCCGUUUAAUAUACCUUAUCUGCAAUACUCAAAAACAUGGAAAAAACAAAAAC
Molecule: long non-coding RNA, 394 nt
Filed under: Hordeum vulgare
Lineage: Eukaryota; Viridiplantae; Streptophyta; Magnoliopsida; Poales; Poaceae
Description: long non-coding RNA (HVUL_LNC016404)
Source: RNAcentral